RNAcentral lists this transfer RNA (73 nucleotides) under Erinaceus europaeus (western European hedgehog). It matches the Rfam family "tRNA". From Rfam's summary of the family: Transfer RNA (tRNA) molecules are approximately 80 nucleotides in length. Their secondary structure includes four short double-helical elements and three loops (D, anti-codon, and T loops). The record is from Rfam by way of RNAcentral. Lineage: Eukaryota; Metazoa; Chordata; Mammalia; Eulipotyphla; Erinaceidae.
GGGAAUGUAGCUCAGUGAUAAGAGUGUGUGCUUCAUAUGUGUGAGGUCCCUGGUUCAAUUCCUGGCAUCUCCA